This 466-nucleotide ribosomal RNA is filed under the name uncultured bacterium. Its description in RNAcentral is "partial 16S ribosomal RNA". It matches the Rfam family "Bacterial small subunit ribosomal RNA", at positions 28 to 507 of the family's 1533-position model. The record is from RNAcentral.
GACGAACGCUGGCGGCGCACCUAACACAUGCGAGUCGAACGAGCGAGAGAGAGCUUGCUUUCUUGAGCGAGUGGCGAACGGGUGAGUAACGCGUGAGGAACCUGCCUCAAAGAGGGGGACAACAGUUGGAAACGACUGCUAAUACCGCAUAAGCCCACGGUGCCGCAUGGCACAGAGGGAAAAGGAGCAAUCCGCUUUGAGAUGGCCUCGCGUCCGAUUAGCUAGUUGGUGAGGUAACGGCCCACCAAGGCGACGAUCGGUAGCCGGACUGAGAGGUUGAACGGCCACAUUGGGACUGAGACACGGCCCAGACUCCUACGGGAGGCAGCAGUGGGGAAUAUUGCACAAUGGGGGAAACCCUGAUGCAGCGACGCCGCGUGGAGGAAGAAGGUCUUCGGAUUGUAAACUCCUGUUGUUGGGGAAGAUAAUGACGGUACCCAACAAGGAAGUGACGGCUAACUACGUG